ACAGCCAAAUCACGAUGUAACAGUGAUUCACGUACGAUCACUGUAGUUAAGCAACGUCAAGUCUGGUCAGUACCUAGAUGGGUGAUCGCUUGGAAAUACCAGGUGCUGUAAG
This is a non-coding RNA of Acanthosepion pharaonis, 112 nucleotides long. NCBI's taxonomy places the organism in Eukaryota, Metazoa, Mollusca, Cephalopoda, Sepiida, Sepiidae. The record is from the annotation of a GenBank genome assembly.